RNAcentral lists this ribosomal RNA (424 nucleotides) under Fusobacteriota bacterium. Its description in RNAcentral is "Fusobacteria bacterium partial 16S ribosomal RNA". It matches the Rfam family "Bacterial small subunit ribosomal RNA", at positions 355 to 776 of the family's 1533-position model. The record is from RNAcentral. Lineage: Bacteria; Fusobacteriati; Fusobacteriota.
UGAGGAAUAUUGGUCAAUGGGCGAGAGCCUGAACCAGCCAAGUCGCGUGAAGGAAGACAGUCCUAAGGAUUGUAAACUUCUUUUAUACGGGAAUAACGGGCGAUACGAGUAUUGCAUUGAAUGUACCGUAAGAAUAAGCAUCAGCUAACUCCGUGCCAGCAGCCGCGGUAAUACGGAGGAUGCGAGCGUUAUCCGGAUUUAUUGGGUUUAAAGGGUGCGUAGGUUGUUCGGUAAGUCAGCGGUGAAACCUGAGCGCUCAACGUUCAGCCUGCCGUUGAAACUGCCGGGCUUGAGUUCAGUGGCGGCAGGCGGAAUUCGUGGUGUAGCGGUGAAAUGCAUAGAUAUCACGAGGAACUCCGAUUGCGAAGGCAGCUUGCCAUACUGCGACUGACACUGAAGCACGAAGGCGUGGGUAUCAAACAGG